UUGAAAGGGAAACGAUUGAAGUCAGUCAUGCCGGUGGAAAAUCAGCUCAUGGGCUACUAUGAGUGCACUUUUUCGCAUGGCAGGUCAACAUUAGUUUUUGUUGGGUCAUAAUUAUUGUAGAAAGGUGACUCCUUCGGGAGUGUUAUAGACUACUUUAGAUGGCCUGAUAUAGACUAAGGAUUGCAGCGAAUGCCUUUAGGCUACAGUUCUUUCUCUGUAAGUCGUUAAUUGGUUGUCAGCUUGCUGACUUCUAGUUAAUUGGCUGACAGUAAGGUAGGAACUGAUAAAUUCGUUAAGGAUGU
RNAcentral lists this ribosomal RNA (302 nucleotides) under uncultured Glomeromycotina. RNAcentral's name for it is "eukaryotic LSU rRNA". Lineage: Eukaryota; Fungi; Glomeromycota. The record is from RNAcentral.